UCCGUAUAUUGAACAUGUCACUGAUCGCGUUUUGGCAUCAAGUCUCCACCAGAAUACCCGGUGAAACCAUCAAAGUAACAACACCCGCGACUCAGGACCCAGGGUGCCGGUGUGGGCAGCCUGGCAUGACCGCGAGGUCAGCCGAGGGGUCAGACAGGUCAGCCGGAGGUCAGCGCCGGUCCCGCGAGCACCGGCGGGUCCGGCGCCGGCGGCGGCCGCCCGUCCUCGCCCCCGCCGCCGGCAGUGAGUCGUGCCGGGCCGGCGCCCGGGGCGGUCGGCUCUUCUGCAGGGUGGGUCCCUUAGACAGCCGGCCGGGCCCGGGUGCCGGACAGCUCCGUCCCUGCGACCCGUCAGCUGAACGGGCCGAUGCAGAAGGCCCCGGUGAGUCGUGGCAGCGCGGCGCCUGGGGACGAGGGCAGCGAAUAACAGCAGCUGUAGGACACAAAUUUUGCCUAAAUACCGUCUGCCCGAAGAACGUCAACUGUCAAGCCUGAAUUAUAGGGAAGUGCUAGUCGUUCGUGCUUACGUUAUCUCCCGCAGACAUCGAAGCAAAUGCUGUCAUCAAGGACACUGGACAUGCGUGACUCAUGAUUAGCCGAUCACGUAAUCAGUUAUAUUCACUAGCCGAGCUGCAGUUUUCUCACCUUACAAUAACAAUUUGCGUCGUUUUGUUUAUUCCGCGGGCGCCGCCUCGGCGUUCUCCUCGCCCGCCUUUCCGACGAUCAUCUCGAUCAGGGGCUCCAGCUCGAUGUUGUUGUCGUCGUCGAUCUCCAUCUCG
This is a long non-coding RNA of Amphibalanus amphitrite, 778 nucleotides long. RefSeq lists it as uncharacterized. The record is from RefSeq and is a predicted model, not a curated record. The transcript is spliced from 2 exons. Lineage: Eukaryota; Metazoa; Arthropoda; Thecostraca; Balanomorpha; Balanidae.